This is a long non-coding RNA of Hyla sarda, 394 nucleotides long. RefSeq lists it as uncharacterized. Lineage: Eukaryota; Metazoa; Chordata; Amphibia; Anura; Hylidae. The record is from RefSeq and is a predicted model, not a curated record. The transcript has 3 exons.
AGAUGAAAGCAGCAAGAGCUGAUUAGAAGGGAUCUGGCACCAACAGGACAGUAGCAACAGGGAAGUAGGCAGGUACAGUUGAAGCAUGAACAUAGGAACUACUCACUUAACUUUAUCUGAUCAUCAGUGACAGUAUGAUAAGGGAAGAACAGGUGGCAGAAGAACUUGGGGAUAUGAUAAUCCAGACAGAAAACAGAGAUGAAUCCAGAAAUAGAUAAAUGUUUAUAUGGCUGUCAGAAAAUAUUGUCCGCUGAUCGUAACAAUGACACAUUACUAAUGUGCUCUGUGUCAUGAGGAUUCUGAAUGACAAAGAAAGUGAAUACAAACCAUGCAACACUACAGCUUGUUAAACAAAAGGAAAAAGCAAACAAGAAAUCAAAAUGCCUAAAGCAAA